GUUAGUAUAGUGGACAGUAUCUCCGCCUGUCAUGCGGAAGACAGGGGUUCGAGACUCCCUGUUUAUACA
Molecule: non-coding RNA, 69 nt
Organism: Pangasianodon gigas (Mekong giant catfish)
Lineage: Eukaryota; Metazoa; Chordata; Actinopteri; Siluriformes; Pangasiidae
Source: the annotation of a GenBank genome assembly